This is a long non-coding RNA of Panicum virgatum (switchgrass), 1964 nucleotides long. RefSeq lists it as uncharacterized. Lineage: Eukaryota; Viridiplantae; Streptophyta; Magnoliopsida; Poales; Poaceae. The record is from RefSeq and is a predicted model, not a curated record. The transcript is spliced from 7 exons.
GUGGAUGGGGGAGCGCUUUCCAUCUUUGCGACCCGCCGGCCGCGCCUCCGUCUACCCGCCUGACCCCGCCUCCCUUCUCUCCGCGAAAUCCACCGCCGCUCCCUCUCUCACGCCCAGAUCGCGGGCCCCUCUAUGCCGCCGUCCCCUCCCUCGACCAGAUCCUGGGGUCGCCCGGACCGUCCUCGCCGCCCGGCCGCCACGCCAGCAGCACGCCGACGCCCCCGCCCGCCGCUUGGCCUCCCCCACGACGCCCCCUCCGCGGGAUCCCAAUCAGGAGCGCGGCGCGCGGCCAGCCAAGAAGCGUGUCGUCGCACGUCUGGCUGGCCAGAUCUGGCCGGGCGCCACACCCGCGGCGCGUUUGGGGGAGGAGAAGGGCUCGGCUCUCCAGAUGGAUCGAGGAGGGCGGGUGCGGGUGCCUCGCGUGCCGCGGCUAGGCGCGCCUCCUACGGGACGACGACCCGAUCGCGUACCGCGGCCUCGUCACCCACGUCGGUCACGCCUGCCGGGGCCGCGGUACCGCCGCCGCGUACACGCCGGGCACUCGCAGGCCAAGCUCGUUCGGGAGACAAUCAAGUCCAAAAUGGCGGACCGGGCAUGUACAACGAAGAACGUCCUCUGCACUGGUUGCCGUGAGGGUAUCAAUGGCUUCUAGAUUCUACAGAAUGGUUCUUGUCGAUCAAUUAAUAUUUAUGACUUCCAAACUGAUCGACGAAGUUCAAUUCAAAUAGUCGCACGAAGUAUCGACGCUCUCCUGAUCGACGAAGAGGGUGCUAAGUUGCUUAGUACUUUGUCUGAGGAAGCUCUCAAAGGAACAAUAAGAUUAGUGUCAUUAGCCUAUCAAAGGACAAGAAAUGGGUACUGUGCUAAUGAUAAUGAUGAACAUCCUCUAGGCAGAGAUCAAAUCUGCUCAAGCCUUGUUCUGAUGAUACAGAGGACUACAUUCAACGAUACCAUGAUAGCUCUUCAAUUGAUGCGCACCCAGUUUUCAAAGCUAGAAAAGCUUGUGGUGCAGCCAUUCGUUUUGCAGUCACAAUUGUAUAGCAGUGUGAAGGAUAGAUAGAACACAAGUUGACAGAGACUUGGAGUCAUUCAAGAAAGACAAAGUGUUGCGUAUAUUCAAACUUAGUUCUGGGCAGGAUGAUCAUGCAAUCAUGUUCAUGGACGAUUAUUUGAAACAUAAUUUUAAAAACAAGAAGAAGCACCUAGCUGAGAAUGGAAGAUUGCUUCAAUUACAGAUUGCAGACUUUCAUACGGAUUGCAGGGAGGCGGUUCUUCAAUUGCAACAAGGAGAAGGAGCAUUCUUUUGGGUGGAAGCUGCGGCCUCUUCUCUCUGAAAUUUCAGAUCUCCAAGAUAGCUCUAUUUUCAAGAUGAAUUGUGUUUUUUUUUCUUUCACAACCAUAUACUUCUUAAUGCUAGGUUUCAAUCAGGUUUGGAGAGCAACACUUGAAUGGUGGAGAAGGAAAACAGCAAUGUUAUACAGUCGUCUAGUCGAACCUAGUCGCCAUGGCACCGAUAAGGCGACUAGUCGUGUCUAGUCGUCGAUCAGGUCGAUUAGUCGACCCUAGUCGGUCCUAAUCGUCGCUAUAGUCGUCCUAUAUAUCCCACGACAUAUAUGUACAUGUAUAUGUACUUAUAUACUAUAUAAGUACAGUCAUGUUAUACAGUCAAGGGUUGGGACUCACCACUUCUGUAAUGAAGUCAGGAAAUCGGAUUCAUGAGACUAUCAAUCAAGGAAAGGGACAAUUGAAUCGCUCAAUUGAGUUCUACUUACUUUGCAGGUUAUACAAAGCUGUGACCAGUUGCCAGAAAGAAGUGCAGGAUUUUCUAACUCCAUCUUCAGCAACGGUUCCUGAAGGAACAAAUGCUCAUGAUUCAGACAUCAAAAUUUGGGAUUAUGUUAUUGACUUUUGAAGUCUGGAAAUGCAUCAAGCUGAAAGAACCAAAGUUCAAUCAGAAGAUAAAA